This 643-nucleotide ribosomal RNA is filed under the name Achromobacter sp. RNAcentral's name for it is "bacterial SSU rRNA". It matches the Rfam family "Bacterial small subunit ribosomal RNA", at positions 68 to 706 of the family's 1533-position model. Lineage: Bacteria; Pseudomonadati; Pseudomonadota; Betaproteobacteria; Burkholderiales; Alcaligenaceae. The record is from RNAcentral.
GGCAGCACGGACUUCGGUCUGGUGGCGAGUGGCGAACGGGUGAGUAAUGUAUCGGAACGUGCCCAGUAGCGGGGGAUAACUACGCGAAAGCGUAGCUAAUACCGCAUACGCCCUACGGGGGAAAGCAGGGGAUCUUCGGACCUUGCACUAUUGGAGCGGCCGAUAUCGGAUUAGCUAGUUGGUGGGGUAACGGCCUACCAAGGCGACGAUCCGUAGCUGGUUUGAGAGGACGACCAGCCACACUGGGACUGAGACACGGCCCAGACUCCUACGGGAGGCAGCAGUGGGGAAUUUUGGACAAUGGGGGAAACCCUGAUCCAGCCAUCCCGCGUGUGCGAUGAAGGCCUUCGGGUUGUAAAGCACUUUUGGCAGGAAAGAAACGUCGCGGGCUAAUACCCCGCGAAACUGACGGUACCUGCAGAAUAAGCACCGGCUAACUACGUGCCAGCAGCCGCGGUAAUACGUAGGGUGCAAGCGUUAAUCGGAAUUACUGGGCGUAAAGCGUGCGCAGGCGGUUCGGAAAGAAAGAUGUGAAAUCCCAGAGCUUAACUUUGGAACUGCAUUUUUAACUACCGGGCUAGAGUGUGUCAGAGGGAGGUGGAAUUCCGCGUGUACCAGUGAAAUGCGUAGAUAUGCGGAGGAA